UACAGAGGGUGCAAACGUUGUUCGGAUUUACUGGGCGUAAAGCGCGUGUAGGCUGCUUCGCAAGUCGGAUGUGAAAGCCCUGGGCUCAACCCAGGAAGUGCAUUCGAAACUGCAGAGCUGGAGUCCUGGAGAGGAAGGCGGAAUUCUCGGUGUAGAGGUGAAAUUCGUAGAUAUCGAGAGGAACACCGGUGGCGAAGGCGGCCUUCUGGACAGUGACUGACGCUGAGACGCGAAAGCGUGGGGAGCGAACAGG
This 253-nucleotide ribosomal RNA is filed under the name uncultured bacterium. Its description in RNAcentral is "partial 16S ribosomal RNA". It matches the Rfam family "Bacterial small subunit ribosomal RNA", at positions 524 to 776 of the family's 1533-position model. The record is from RNAcentral.